RNAcentral lists this ribosomal RNA (545 nucleotides) under uncultured bacterium. Its description in RNAcentral is "bacterial SSU rRNA". It matches the Rfam family "Bacterial small subunit ribosomal RNA", at positions 358 to 917 of the family's 1533-position model. The record is from RNAcentral.
GGAAUCUUGCGCAAUGGGCGAAAGCCUGACGCAGCAACGCCGCGUGCGGGAAGAAGGCUUUAGGGUUGUAAACCGCUUUCAGCAGGGAAGAAAAUGACGGUACCUGCAGAAGAAGGUGCGGCCAACUACGUGCCAGCAGCCGCGGUGACACGUAGGCACCAAGCGUUGUCCGGAUUUAUUGGGCGUAAAGAGCUCGUAGGCGGUUCAGUAAGUCGGGUGUGAAAACUCUGGGCUUAACCCAGAGCCGCCACCCGAUACUGCUGUGACUUGAGUCCGGUAGGGGAGCGGGGAAUUCCUGGUGUAGCGGUGAAAUGCGCAGAUAUCAGGAGGAACACCGGUGGCGAAGGCGCCGCUCUGGGCCGAGACUGACGCUGAGGAGCGAAAGCAUGGGUAGCAAACAGGAUUAGAUACCCUGGUAGUCCAUGCCGUAGACGUUGGGCACUAGGUGUGGGCAUCAACCAACGAUGUCCGCGCCGUCGCUAACGCAUUAAGUGCCCCGCCUGGGGAGUACGGUCGCAAGAUUAAAACUCAAAUGAAUUGACGGA